UAUUGUGUACUGGGUUUGUCUCCCGUGUUAGUAGACAGGUGUUUAUGACACCCAGUAAGUCCGUGUUGGACAUUUUGGUUUGCCGGUUAGGCAUUAAAUAUCACCGCAUUGAAGCUCUGCUGUUCCUGCGUCUGAUUUCACACCCCACCGACACCCAGGUCGUUACACUCGUCAUCUUCUCGAAUCUGCAGGACAUAAAACAAACAAUAGAGCCUGAGAGGCCAGAAUGACAACCAGUGAGAGAGCCAGGUGUGGGAUCGGAGGACAGAGAAUGCAGGUAUCUUCACAGCACCAGUGAAAGGAGUAUACUACUUCAGAUUCACCAUCAUGGACCGCCGGGGCUCUGCUUUGCUGGGUGUGAACUUGUAUAAAGGUGAGAACUCCACAGCGGCAACAACGAACCCAUUUCCAACACUGUGGUCCUUGACUGGGGGACGUGGUGUACAUGAGUCUCCCUGCAGGCUAUGGACUUCCAGUCACUACACCACCUUCCUGCUCUUCCCUAUGUGAAGUGAAUGCAUUGACCGCUGUAUGAUUUAGCCUACGGGCAUAACCGACAGCUUCUCUGUAUACUGUCAUAACUUGUAACCCUAUAGUGUCUAAUGAAGACACUGUACUUAGUUUUUUCUUCAGCAAAGACCAGAGAUCAUAUGA
Molecule: long non-coding RNA, 654 nt
Organism: Salvelinus sp. IW2-2015
Lineage: Eukaryota; Metazoa; Chordata; Actinopteri; Salmoniformes; Salmonidae
Source: RefSeq, a predicted model, not a curated record